Molecule: ribosomal RNA, 252 nt
Filed under: uncultured Bacteroidales bacterium
Lineage: Bacteria; Pseudomonadati; Bacteroidota; Bacteroidia; Bacteroidales
Description: partial 16S ribosomal RNA
Rfam family: Bacterial small subunit ribosomal RNA
Source: RNAcentral
UACGGAGGAUGAGAGCGUUAUCCGGAUUUAUUGGGUUUAAAGGGUGCGCAGGCGGAGGCACAAGUCAGAGGUAAAAUCGCGGGGCUCAACCCCGCUCCGCCGUUGAAACUGUGUCCCUUGAGUGCGCGAAGGGUAGGCGGAAUGCGUGGUGUAGCGGUGAAAUGCAUAGAUAUCACGCAGAACUCCGAUUGCGAAGGCAGCUUACUAAGCCAUAACUGACACUGAAGCACGAAAGCGUGGGGAUCAAACAGG